UACUUCACCGAACGGGGAAGGAUGAGAAGCUUCGACUAAGGUUCGAUUCGAGCGCCAGCGAGAAAGCGUUGCCGCAGGCAACGACCCGAAGGGCGAAGCGCUGAGUUACCCCACCACCCGCUU
This 123-nucleotide small RNA is filed under the name Atlantibacter hermannii. RNAcentral's name for it is "RtT sRNA". It matches the Rfam family "RtT RNA". From Rfam's summary of the family: This family represents a bacterial cis-regulatory element known as RtT RNA. The exact function of RtT is unknown although it is thought that it may be involved in changing the cellular response in relation to amino acid starvation. Lineage: Bacteria; Pseudomonadati; Pseudomonadota; Gammaproteobacteria; Enterobacterales; Enterobacteriaceae. The record is from RNAcentral.